This is a long non-coding RNA of Homo sapiens (human), 336 nucleotides long. RefSeq lists it as uncharacterized. The record is from RefSeq and is a predicted model, not a curated record. NCBI's taxonomy places the organism in Eukaryota, Metazoa, Chordata, Mammalia, Primates, Hominidae. The transcript has 5 exons.
GCUGGAGUUACAAAAGUAUAAAGGACAACGCAAAGGACUUUUUAGCCAAAGAAGAACCAGAAAGGAAGAGUCCUAGGGAAUUGGAGACGUCGCGAAGGAAUGUUGUAAGGAGAAUUCAAGCCUAAAACGGUUCUGAGCACUGAUUUCAUCAAGCCGAUGGAGGCAACAACAUAUUCCUUAGGGAAAAUUAAGAUGCACAGUAUGCUUCAAGAUGAUGGCCAAGAACAACCAACUCAACGAGCCUUCAGGAAUUCAUGAUUUGAAUAUCAUGUUCAAGCUACAGACAUCAGCAAACUCGAGAAAAGAAGGUUUGCUCUGGGAGAUUCUACAUGUGAC